Molecule: RNA transcript, 2079 nt
Organism: Wyeomyia smithii (pitcher-plant mosquito)
Lineage: Eukaryota; Metazoa; Arthropoda; Insecta; Diptera; Culicidae
Gene name: troponin C, isoallergen Bla g 6.0101-like
Exons: 7
Source: RefSeq, a predicted model, not a curated record
GCGCGCCUGCCGCAUUUGUCCGUUGUCACCGAUCGUGGCGGAAUCGAUUUCGCAAAAACUUUUUAUAUCUCUGCGACGUUUGGGAUAGCGGAGCAGUUUCGAGUGUUUUCUUCCUUUUCUCGGAACGUCCAGCGAUGCUGGUGGAACAUUUCGCUGCGGACGGCGCUCGGUUCGUUUGAGGUUCGGUGUUUGGAUUAGCUACCAAGAACCGGUGUUUUGGCGGAUACUUCAUUUGUUUAUCGGGGCUAGAGCAUUCGCGGUAAAGUUUUUUUUUUCCAAGAGGAAAAUAGUUCGAAAACCAGCAAUUGUGGUGUCUGCUGCCGCUGCCGAUAGUUGAUGGGUCAAAUUGUAAAUCUGAACCAGCCCAAAAUAGACGCGACAUUACGAUUGAUCACGGACAUCGUAACGGGUGAGGUGCUGCCGAGACGCGAGGGUGGCGUGGAAAAUCGCCAACUGGUGUUUUAGCAAUCAAUUGUAAUUUGCUAUUGUGAGAAGAAAGUGAUUUUCGGUGACAAAAGGCAGGCUCGCUUGACAGCUGGCAGUUAAUCGAAUAGUCGCUGGUGCUGGUUCCGCAGCAUCGCCAAAAGUGCAGUUGGACAAUUGUGCAACCGUCGGCGGCGAAGGAAAGAAAAAGUGAUUUAGUUGAAUCGGUUGGAAAGUUAACACUAGAAAUUUGAUGGCAAUGGAUCCCAAAGCGCAAGAACUCAGCAAAGACCAGUUGAAAGUACUAAAAGACGCCUUCGAUGCAUUCGACAAGGACAAAACGGGCAGCAUUCCAACGGACGUAGUCGGCACCAUCCUGGAACUGUUGGGGCAUACGCUGACGGAGGAAGAGCUGGAGGAUGUGAUCGACGAGUACGACGAGGAUGAGUCCGGCCAACUGGAAUUUAACGAGUUUGUACAGCUAGCGUCGAACUACGUGGAACCUGAGGAAGACUACGAUGCACUGCGGAAGGAGCUUAGGGAGGUCUUCAUGAUGUACGAUAAGGAAGCUAAGGGUUUUAUUCCAGUAGAUGCAUUCAAACAAAUCCUUAGAGAGUUAGACGGAGCGGUACCAGAGGAAGAACUAGAUGAUAUUGUAGAUGAGAUUGAUGCGGACGGAUCGGGAACGGUAGACUUCGAAGAAUUCAUGGAAGUCAUGACAGGAGAUGACUCUUAGGUUUUCUGCUUGCUAUUAAUCCGGACAAAAUCUACGCCAGUACUGCUUAUUUUGAGUCUAUCGCUUUCAGGUGUGCGUGCAGGAUCUAUCACUUUGCUUCAAGAUCGAGACCCGAAUAAGGAUUAGAUGUCUCUUCAGCGUGAACCGACGGGAGGGGAGCGUGGUUGCAUAAUAUUCAUUUCUGAAAUCAAACAAUUUUAGGCAUCAAACCCAACUUUCUAGGUGACUGAAAGCUAUUCUCGUGAGAAACAAACCACUAGCACUCUAAGCACACACACACCCAGAUUUUGGGGAAAAACCGCGAGACAGCCAGCAAGAAAGAGACAGGGAUAAUGUAUAGAAGUAAUAGGUUUUAACGUUCGAACAUUUAAAAAUCUUCCUAGUUUACCAAUACCUAAUUCUAAUCCGUUAAAUAACAGUAAAGAAGGGCACCAAAAAAGAUUGGUUCAAAUUACACUUUGCGAUCAAAUCUAAAAUCACAACGGAAGAGUUCUAUUUUUUUUUCGAAUCAUCAUCGCAUAAGUGAGAUUUGAAAAGUCUACAACAAUUAGUGAUUGAUGUCUGCUUCUUGUUAUUAAGUUUAACCCAUAGCUUAUAUUUUUGCUUUUACAAGAACGAUCAUUGUUAGUUUUUGGAUAAAUGAGAGAUUUGAAAGAACUUCUUUCUCACCCUUUGUUGUAGUUUUCUAUGCUAAUAGGAUUAUGUAUAGAUUUUUUUCUCUUAAUUUUCUAAAGUUGAAAAUAUUCAAGAACACAAAUUUGGUUGAUCUUCAGUCAGCAGCAGGACAAAUCAAGUUACGAUCAAGCUAACAGAAAAGAGACAACAUGAGAAUAAAGAGAAUCAACCGUUAGAAUUAUUGUUGUUAAUUCACAAUGAAAGGGAAAUUAUUAAGUGAAUAAAAGGUUACACAAGCGUUUUCA